UUGGAGGGCAAGUCUGGUGCCAGCAGCCGCGGUAAUUCCAGCUCCAAUAGCGUAUAUUAAAGUUGUUGCAGUUAAAAAGCUCGUAGUUGAAUUUCGGGAUCAAUAUAUCGGUCGUGCCAUCGGUACGUACUGGUAUGAUUGGUUUCUCCUUUCUGACGAACCAUGAUGUCAUUAAUUUGGUGUUAUGGGAAGUUAGGACUGUUACUUUGAAAAAAUUAGAGUGUUUAAAGCAGGCUUUGGCUUGAAUACAUUAGCAUGGAAUAAUGAAAUAGGACGUUCGAACCUAUCUUGUUGGUUUCUAGGAUCAACGUAAUGAUUAAUAGGGGUAGUUGGGGGCAUUAGUAUUCAAUUGUCAGAGGUGAAAUUCUUGGAUUUAUUGAAGACUAACUACUGCGAAAGCAUUUGCCAAGGAUGUUUUCAUUAAUCAAGAACGAAAGUUAGGGGAUCGAAGACGAUCAGAUACCGUCGUAGUCUUAACCAUAAACUAUGCCGACUAGGGAUCGGACGAAGUUAAUUUUAUAAUGACGCGUUCGGCGCCUUACGGGAAACCAAAGUGUUUGGGUUC
This 565-nucleotide ribosomal RNA is filed under the name uncultured Glomeromycotina. Its description in RNAcentral is "SSU rRNA". It matches the Rfam family "Eukaryotic small subunit ribosomal RNA", at positions 548 to 1114 of the family's 1831-position model. Lineage: Eukaryota; Fungi; Glomeromycota. The record is from RNAcentral.